This is a non-coding RNA of Aedes albopictus (Asian tiger mosquito), 83 nucleotides long. Lineage: Eukaryota; Metazoa; Arthropoda; Insecta; Diptera; Culicidae. The record is from Rfam.
CGCUGGCCAGCCUGAAAUUUGCUAAACCUGUGUGUAUUUGAUUCGAACAAUCAAGGUGAGCAAAUUUUCAGGUGUGUCGGAGA